This 471-nucleotide ribosomal RNA is filed under the name uncultured Alphaproteobacteria bacterium. RNAcentral describes it as "bacterial SSU rRNA". It matches the Rfam family "Bacterial small subunit ribosomal RNA", at positions 9 to 524 of the family's 1533-position model. RNAcentral also lists the same sequence under 1 other name. Lineage: Bacteria; Pseudomonadati; Pseudomonadota; Alphaproteobacteria. The record is from RNAcentral.
GAGUUUGAUCUUGGCUCAGAACGAACGCUGGCGGCAUGCCUAACACAUGCAAGUCGAACGAGGCCUUCGGGUCUAGUGGCGCACGGGUGCGUAACGCGUGGGAAUCUGCCCUUGGGUUCGGAAUAACAGUGAGAAAUUACUGCUAAUACCGGAUGAUGUCUUCGGACCAAAGAUUUAUUGCCCAAGGAUGAGCCCGCGUAGGAUUAGCUAGUUGGUGGGGUAAUGGCCUACCAAGGCGACGAUCCUUAGCUGGGUCUGAGAGGAUGAUCAGCCACACUGGGACUGAGACACGGCCCAGACUCCUACGGGAGGCAGCAGUGGGGAAUAUUGGACAAUGGGCGAAAGCCUGAUCCAGCAAUGCCGCGUGAGUGAUGAAGGCCUUAAGGGUUGUAAAGCUCUUUUACCCGGGAUGAUAAUGACAGUACCGGGAGAAUAAGCUCCGGCUAACUCCGUGCCAGCCGCCGCUGUAAC